Molecule: ribosomal RNA, 446 nt
Filed under: uncultured bacterium
Lineage: Bacteria
Description: bacterial SSU rRNA
Rfam family: Bacterial small subunit ribosomal RNA
Source: RNAcentral
ACUCCUACGGGAGGCAGCAGUGGGGAAUCUUGGACAAUGGGGGCAACCCUGAUCCAGCCAUGCCGCGUGAGUGAUGAAGGCCUUAGGGUCGUAAAGCUCUUUCGCCUGUGAUGAUAAUGACAGUAGCAGGUAAAGAAACCCCGGCUAACUCCGUGCCAGCAGCCGCGGUAAUACGGAGGGGUUAGCGUUGUUCGGAAUUACUGGGCGUAAAGCGCGCGUAGGCGGAUUAGUCAGUUAGAGGUGAAAUCCCAGGGCUCAACCCUGGAACUGCCUUUAAUACUGCUAGUCUUGAGUUCGAGAGAGGUGAGUGGAAUUCCGAGUGUAGAGGUGAAAUUCGUAGAUAUUCGGAGGAACACCAGUGGCGAAGGCGGCUCACUGGCUCGAUACUGACGCUGAGGUGCGAAAGUGUGGGAGCAAACAGGAUUAGAUACCCUGGUAGGAUAGCG